UGUUAACCGUACAGCUAUAGGGGCAAACCAGUUAUGCAAUCAUACAUCUCUCAUUUUGAAAAAGUUAAUAAAGAGCACUGUACCCUGCUGCUAUCACUGCACCAAGUAUCAUGAGUGUCCAUGGACAAGUCAGGAAAAUUAACCAGUCUGAAUACUUUGGCAGCAUGUAAAACACAGAUUCCUGAGAUUAUCUGAAAGGAAUAAAACAAUU
Long non-coding RNA from Physella acuta, 211 nucleotides. RefSeq lists it as uncharacterized. The record is from RefSeq and is a predicted model, not a curated record. Lineage: Eukaryota; Metazoa; Mollusca; Gastropoda; Physidae.